This 222-nucleotide ribosomal RNA is filed under the name Enterobacter kobei. Its description in RNAcentral is "partial 23S ribosomal RNA". It matches the Rfam family "Bacterial large subunit ribosomal RNA", at positions 2079 to 2300 of the family's 2925-position model. The record is from RNAcentral. Lineage: Bacteria; Pseudomonadati; Pseudomonadota; Gammaproteobacteria; Enterobacterales; Enterobacteriaceae.
GACGGAAAGACCCCGUGAACCUUUACUAUAGCUUGACACUGAACACUGGUCCUUGAUGUGUAGGAUAGGUGGGAGGCUUUGAAGCGUGGACGCCAGUCUGCGUGGAGCCGCCCUUGAAAUACCACCCUUUAAUGGCUGGUGUUCUAACGUAGACCCGUAAUCCGGGUUGCGGACAGUGUCUGGUGGGUAGUUUGACUGGGGCGGUCUCCUCCCAAAGAGUAA